RNAcentral lists this ribosomal RNA (825 nucleotides) under Marcelleina persoonii. RNAcentral's name for it is "eukaryotic LSU rRNA". It matches the Rfam family "Eukaryotic large subunit ribosomal RNA", at positions 98 to 941 of the family's 3401-position model. Lineage: Eukaryota; Fungi; Ascomycota; Pezizomycetes; Pezizales; Pezizaceae. The record is from RNAcentral.
GCGGCAAAAGCUCAGAUUUGAAAUCUGGCGUCUUAUGGCGUCCGAGUUGUAAUCUGUAGAGGAGUGUUCGAGCAUAGCUUUGGCUUAAGUUCCUUGGAACAGGACGUCAUGGAGGGUGAGAAUCCCGUGUACGGCCUUUGACUUGUGCUUAUGUGAACCUCCUUCAACGAGUCGAGUUGUUUGGGAAUGCAGCUCUAAAUGGGUGGUAAAUUUCAUCUAAAGCUAAAUACUGGCAGGAGACCGAUAGCGCACAAGUAGAGUGAUCGAAAGAUGAAAAGAACUUUGGAAAGAGAGUUAAAUAGUACGUGAAAUUGUUGAAAGGGAAGCACUUGCUCCCAGACUUGCCUGCAGCUGAUCAAUCACCAUUUUUGGUGGUGCACUUGGUUGUAGGCAGGCCAGCAUCAGUCCAGACGACGAGAAAAAGGUGCAGGGAAUGUGGCUCUUUUCGGAGAGUGUUAUAGCCCUGUACGUAAUGUCGCCUGCCUGGACUGAGGCCCGCGCUUCGGCGAGGAUGCUGGCGUAAUGGUCGUAAGUGACCCGUCUUGAAACACGGACCAAGGAGUCUAACAGCUGUGCGAGUGUUUGGGUGGAAAACCCUCACGCGCAAUGAAAGUGAAUGGAGGUGGGAACCGCAAGGUGCACCAUCGACCGAUCCUGAUGUCUUCGGAUGGAUUUGAGUAGGAGCAUAGCUGUUGGGACCCGAAAGAUGGUGAACUAUGCCUGAAUAGGGUGAAGCCAGAGGAAACUCUGGUGGAGGCUCGCAGCGGUUCUGACGUGCAAAUCGAUCGUCAAAUUUGGGUAUAGGGGCGAAAGACUAAUCGAACC